CCUACGGGAGGCAGCAGUGGGGAAUUUUGGACAAUGGGCGCAAGCCUGAUCCAGCAAUGCCGCGUGCAGGAAGAAGGCCUUCGGGUUGUAAACUGCUUUUGUCAGGGAAGAAAUCUUCUGGGUUAAUACCUCGGGAGGAUGACGGUACCUGAAGAAUAAGCACCGGCUAACUACGUGCCAGCAGCCGCGGUAAU
Molecule: ribosomal RNA, 194 nt
Filed under: uncultured bacterium
Lineage: Bacteria
Also listed under: 1 other name
Description: partial 16S ribosomal RNA
Rfam family: Bacterial small subunit ribosomal RNA
Source: RNAcentral